ACUUUUAAAGGACAAUAGUCCUCCACUGGUCAUAGGAUAGAGUACUAC
Molecule: transfer RNA, 48 nt
Filed under: Teius teyou
Lineage: Eukaryota; Metazoa; Chordata; Lepidosauria; Squamata; Teiidae
Description: partial tRNA-Leu
Source: RNAcentral